UGGCCGGGGCUCUAGAGGUGGCU
RNAcentral lists this non-coding RNA (23 nucleotides) under Drosophila melanogaster (fruit fly). The record is from RNAcentral. Lineage: Eukaryota; Metazoa; Arthropoda; Insecta; Diptera; Drosophilidae.